Molecule: long non-coding RNA, 178 nt
Organism: Ostrinia furnacalis (Asian corn borer)
Lineage: Eukaryota; Metazoa; Arthropoda; Insecta; Lepidoptera; Crambidae
Exons: 2
Source: RefSeq, a predicted model, not a curated record
AGUUCUUCAUAGCGUCUUUAACUUCCAAACUAGCAACAUCUGCAAUUGACCGCGCGUGUGUGACCGCGAACGACAUGUACGUGAUGGUGGUUGGCGCCAAAGGGGACGAGUGUCUUCCGGACGACGAGCAGGUGGACCCAGAGCGUCGGAUACCGGAGAAACUCGGACCCCGGCGAGA